CGCCUGAAAAAAAUCUCUCCAAACCUUCACGAAGCUUUUUCUUGAUUCCUCCUCGCGCCGUCGCUUGCGUUAGGGUUUUUUUUCAUCUCUUCCUUCUCGUCGCCUCCAAGGUACCUCUCACACCUCCGAUCGAUUUCUUGCCUUCACUUUGUGCAUAUUCCGGUCCGUCGGCGUCCCUUCUCGUUCCAACUACGGUACGAGAUUUCGUUUUUAAGUUUGCUUUUACAUCUGGGAAAGAUCCAACAUCCUCUCAUCCGAAUCUUUAAAGUGGUUCGCCUGAAUCCUGAGGCAGUUAAUCUCUCGUUUAUAUAAAAAAGGGUUUAUAUUCGUCCGCGGGUUCCUAUACCAUGGCGGCCGGUUACUCCGAGGAUUCCUAUGAUAGCAGAAGCAGCCAUCGAAGUCACGGAGCUGUCGCCGCGGGUUAUGACCGUCGGAACGGCUACAGUCCACCGGUUGCUAGGGUUUCAAAACCCUUCCGCCAAAGAUCUGACGGAAAAGAAGAAAGUGAUCAUGAGAGGAGACGGAAAAGAAGGCGGAGUGCUAGAGAUAGCGAGAGCGACGGCGAGAUGAAGAGGGAAGGGAUGCGGCGCGUUGCAGAUGAUGAGGACAAUGGCGUUGAUAAGAGGGACAGGAGACGGCGUGGAAGUGAAGAAGACAAAGAGGAGGGAAAGAGGGCAAGAAGGCGCUCUGAGAAUGUAGACAGGAGUCCGCGGAGACGUAAGCAUGAAGAUGGUGGCAGAGUCCGUGAUAGAGAUGACCGCCGCAGGGAGAAGAGAGAGGAUAGUCCACCUCGGAGACGAGAUGCCCGCUCAAGAGUACGAAAGGGUACCCCUCGGCGUGAAGACAGUGAAGGAGAAAGUGAUUGGUCGGAUAAGGAAAAAGGUACACGAAGACGGGAAAAUCACAAGGAACGCAAUGAACGCCAUGAAGAAAAACCUGCAGAGGGAGAUAAGUUACCUAACCAGGAGAUAAAGAAGCUAGAUAGUCAGCCUCCACCUAUGUCAGAUUCUAACAUGGGAAGGACGGGGGGUAUUUACAUCCCUCCUCACAGAAUGGCGCAAUUGAUGCGAGAAGUGCAGGAUAAGAGUAGUGAAGCUUACCAGCGACUGAGCUGGGACGCUCUCAGAAAAAGUAUCAAUGGUUUGGUGAAUAAAGUCAAUGCUACCAAUAUCAAGAACAUUAUUCCUGAGCUCUUCUCUGAGAAUUUAAUUCGUGGAAGGGGGCUUUUCUGCCGAUCAUGCAUGAAGUCUCAAAUGGCUUCUCCUGGAUUUACUGAUGUAUUUUCUGCAUUGGUUGCCGUCGUUAAUACUAAAUUUCCAGAGAUUGGUAGGCUUCUUGUGGUGAGAAUUGUCUUGCAACUCAAGAGGGCUUAUAAAAGGAAUGACAAGCCUCAACUACUUGCUGCGACUAAGUUCAUUGCCCAUCUUGUGAAUCAACUGGUGGCACAUGAGAUCAUUGCUCUGGAGCUUCUCACUAUAUUAUUGGAAAACCCUACAGAUGACAGUGUAGAGGUAGCUGUUGGAUUUAUCAAGGAAUGUGGUGCAUUACUUCAAGAUAUUUCGCCUCAAGGACUCCAUGGUAUCUUUGAACGUUUUCGUGGUAUACUUCAUGAAGGAGAAAUUGAUAAAAGGGUCCAGUUUCUGAUUGAAGGCCUUUUUGCUAUACGAAAAGCAAAAUUUCAGGGAUUUCCUGCUAUUCGUCCAGAACUGGAUCUUGUUGAGCAAGAGGACCAAUUUACUCAUGAGAUAUCACUUGAUGAAGAGAUUGAUCCGGAGACUAAUCUUGAUGUUUUUAAGGCAAAUCCUAAUUUUCUUGAAGACGAGAAGGCAUAUGAGAAUCUGAAGAAAACCAUUCUUGGGGAUGAGUCUUCUGAUGAUGAAGAAGAUUCUGAUGCAGCUUCAGAGGAUGAAGAUGAAGAUGAAGAAGAAUCUGAGGAAGAGGAUGAUGAGAUGAUGAAGAUAAAAGAUGAAACCGAGACAAAUCUUGUCAAUUUGCGAAGAACUAUAUAUCUUACAAUCAUGUCAAGUGUUGAUUUUGAGGAGGCUGGACAUAAAUUGUUAAAAAUCAAACUUGAGCCUGGUCAGGAGAUGGAAUUAUGUAUUAUGUUGCUGGAAUGCUGCAGCCAAGAGAGAACAUACCUACGAUAUUAUGGUCUUCUUGGGCAGAGAUUUUGCAUGAUUAACAAAGUUCAUCAAGAAAAUUUUGAGAAAUGCUUUGUUCAGCAAUAUUCUAUGAUACAUCGUCUUGAAACUAAUAAGUUGCGCAAUGUAGCAAAAUUCUUUGCUCACUUGCUUGGAACGGAUGCACUUCCUUGGCAUGUGCUUGCUUAUAUACGGUUGACUGAGGAAGACACAACUUCCUCUUCUCGAAUCUUCAUUAAGAUUCUCUUUCAGGAAUUGUCUGAGCAUUUAGGAAUUCGUUUACUUAAUGAGAGACUCAAUGAUACUACUAUGCAAGAUUCAUUUGAGUCUAUAUUUCCCAAGGAUAACCCUAAAAAUACAAGAUUUUCCAUCAACUUUUUCACAUCGAUUGGGUUGGGUGGUAUCACUGAAAACCUGAGAGAAUAUUUGAAGAACAUGCCAAGACUAAUUAUGCAACAACAAAAAUCAGUAACUGAUUCUGAAGAUGAACCUGAAAAUUCUAGCGACUCAAGCUCCCAGUCAGAUUCUGAGUCGGGAUCUAGUUCAGAUGAAAGUGAAAGAAAUAGGAGACGCUCCAAGAAGCAGAACAGGAACUGAAUUAUAUCUGAUAACUGAAAAUGGAGUGGAGAAGCUUAUAUAUCUUUUUGUGAAGUCGUGGGAAGAUGGAUGCGAGCGAUGAGUCAAGAGGGGGUGUUCUCCAGAUAUUAUUGAUAGAAGAAGAGGACGCUUGAACUGCUCAAGUGAGGAUUACAGUUAGAGAAGGAUUCUCCAAGAAAAGUCGAUGCAUCAGAUUUUGUCAUCUCUCAACGGAGCGUUGACCUCAAAUUACCCCUCAAAGUUUAAUAUGCUGUUUGUUUUAAAGAUGCCUUGCUGAGGUAUGAUCGUGUUGUGAUAUUAUUUUCUGAUCGGAGGGAUUUCAGAAUCAGCAACUUGCUUGUAGGGUUACAUAUGCUUCAAAUUCGUCCCAGGAAAUGACCAUUGUAAUUUUCAUACUAGAGAAUUUGGAUAUUGGCCUAGGCGUUUGGUUGAUUCGCUAUAAGUCGCACAGCAAAAUGUGUUCUUGUGA
RNA transcript from Zingiber officinale, 3207 nucleotides. It is a transcript of the gene named pre-mRNA-splicing factor CWC22 homolog, with no coding region annotated. The record is from RefSeq and is a predicted model, not a curated record. Lineage: Eukaryota; Viridiplantae; Streptophyta; Magnoliopsida; Zingiberales; Zingiberaceae. The transcript has 10 exons.